Molecule: ribosomal RNA, 255 nt
Filed under: uncultured bacterium
Lineage: Bacteria
Description: partial 16S ribosomal RNA
Rfam family: Bacterial small subunit ribosomal RNA
Source: RNAcentral
UACGUAGGGGGCAAGCGUUUGUCCGGAUUUAUUGGGCGUAAAGAGCGUGUAGGCGGUUCGGUAGGUCCGUUGUGAAAACUCGAGGCUCAACCUCGAGACGCCGAUGGAAACCAUCGAACUAGAGUCCGGAAGAGGAGAGUGGAAUUCCUGGUGUAGCGGUGAAAUGCGCAGAUAUCAGGAAGAACACCCGUGGCUAAGGCGGCUCCUCUAGUACGGUACUGACGCUGAGACGCGAAAGCGUGGGGAGCGAACAGG